CUCUUAUCCAGAGAGGUGGAGGGACUGGCCCUGUGAAGCCUCGGCAACCUGGAAACGGGUUCGUAAGCGUAAUCCGUUUUUAAGGUGCUAACUCCUGCAGACUGGGAAGGCAUCGCCUUUCCGCAAAAGGUUUCUGAAAGAUGAGAG
This 147-nucleotide non-coding RNA is filed under the name Actinomycetota bacterium. RNAcentral describes it as "Actinobacteria bacterium SAM-I sequence". It matches the Rfam family "SAM riboswitch aptamer (S box leader)". From Rfam's summary of the family: The SAM riboswitch is found upstream of a number of genes which code for proteins involved in methionine or cysteine biosynthesis in Gram-positive bacteria. Lineage: Bacteria; Bacillati; Actinomycetota. The record is from RNAcentral.